AAUGAACGUUGGCGGCGUGGAUUAGGCAUGCAAGUCGAGCGAGAAUUUGCGAUUGGAAGCUUCGGCCGAAGAAAGUGAAGGAAAGCGGCAAACGGCGUAGUAAGGCGUAGGUACGUACCCUCGGGUCGGGAAUAGCCAUGGGAAACUGUGGGUAAUGCCCGAUAAUCUCUGCGGAGCAAAGGUGUGAUUCCGCCGGAGGAGCGGCUUACGUGAUAUUAGCUAGUUGGUGGGGUAAUGGCCUACCAAGGCAACGAUGUCUAGGGGGUGUGAGAGCAUGGCCCCCACGACCGGAACUGAGACACUGUCCGGACACCUACGGGUGGCUGCAGUCGAGAAUCUUCCGCAAUGGGCGAAAGCCUGACGGAGCGACGCCGCGUGGUGGAUGAAGGCCCUUGGGUUGUAAACACCUGUCAGAGGGGAUGAAAUCGUGGUUGGCAAUCCUUCCAUGUUGACAGAGCCUCAGAGGAAGCACGGGCUAAGUACGUGCCAGCAGCCGCGGU
This 500-nucleotide ribosomal RNA is filed under the name uncultured bacterium. RNAcentral's name for it is "bacterial SSU rRNA". It matches the Rfam family "Bacterial small subunit ribosomal RNA", at positions 29 to 521 of the family's 1533-position model. The record is from RNAcentral.